GAAGAAGAAGAAGAACAUUUUAUUGACUUAAACUACAUAGUUUCUCGUCAUAUACAUAUACACAAACAUAAUGUACUGUACAUAAAUCAUUAUAUAAAUAAAUAAUCAAGUUCAUAACUGCUAAAUAAUGAACAAGUCAAUUCUAGCAUUCGAGUGAGAGUGGUCCAUUCGGUCCAUUACAUAUAUACAUGAAGGUGUAAAAUUGCAGUGAAUAUAUCCGUAAUUGGGUCAGAAUACCUGUAAGCUAUUUCCGUAGUAAACAUUACCAUAUAAGGAAAACCGAAAGUAAACACUCAUUUGCCCAUUCAUAAACUUUAUCGACGUCAUUGUUAUUUACUAAUAUCAACCAAUCAUUACCGUCCCCAUGCCAAAUAUGGAGACCGGAAAUAAUAAACCGUCACGCCUUUUUGCGACCACGCUUCAUGACUGGAAAAAGAUUUUCGAUGUUUUUCAACAUAUUUGACCGCAUUACUGGAUAUAUAUUUGAGUAGAUAGUACAAUAACGCUGGUUUCGUUCUAUUCGGUUCUGUGCAUAUCUACCAGUUUCUAUGCGUAGCUUGUGGGAUGACAACCUUAAUCUGGACAGUGAAUUCCGAAGGGUGUUAGGCAACACAUUCAGCAUAUCAAAGUGUUUUUGAAGUUCUGAAGGUGUUCUACCUAAUAUAACCAUAUCAUCAGCAAAAAGCAUCAAAAUGAAGGUAAUGUCAUCUAUCGUAAGGCCACAAGUGUAAUCUUCUUGCAAAAAUAACUCUAAGUCUUCUAUAAAUAAUGAAAAUAAUAAAGGGGACAUAACUUCUCCCUGUUUUAAACCAACUGCACAUUCAAAAAACUCAGAAUAAGAGUUGCAACA
This is a long non-coding RNA of Ruditapes philippinarum (Manila clam), 850 nucleotides long. RefSeq lists it as uncharacterized. Lineage: Eukaryota; Metazoa; Mollusca; Bivalvia; Venerida; Veneridae. The record is from RefSeq and is a predicted model, not a curated record. The transcript has 3 exons.